CAAAGGUGCACAAGGGGAGAAUCCGCUGAAUAGCUGGAAAAAAAGGUGGGCUGGACGAUGGGGCUGAAUAAUCAGGAGCAAAGGUCUUUGAGAGAGUAAAGCAAGCCCUGCAGUACGGGCAUACCAGAGUUCCAGAAGCAACCAGAAGUUUUGGUGGCUCUGCAUCCGGACAUCUCUCUGCAGGGAACUUUGGGGAUUGCAACAGUCACGAACCUCGUGCCCAAAAAUCUCCAAACGAGAGGCUUCUCCUGCCAGCUCUGCCAGGGCAUCCCAUGUACAGAGAUCCCACAGUGGAGAGCUGCCUUCAGAAAGCUUCACCCCAAGGAUGUGUAACUUGAUGCAGUAUUGACCAGACAUAUUUAGGAGGAGAAAACAGGAUUUGCUUCUUACCUAAAAGAAAAUAUAGCUGCCCAUUCAACAAGAAAUGAAUCCUGAAUCCUGGUCUCUCUGGAAAACCAAACCAACCAAAUCAGCCUCCUGCUUUUCAUUUACAUUCCAUUAAGGCUUGUUAACUUAACCUCAGCUCCCAGAGCUCUGGAGCAUUCUAUAGGUCGGACUGAGUGCUUUGUUAACUACCUUGAUGAACCAAUCAAGGCUUGGCUAAGUCAGAGAAGAAGCAGACAAACCCUGGGAGACAUCUGUACAAGAAAAGGCAUAAUCUGGACGCUGAGCUUUGAAGGCAAGCUAUAUAAUGAGAGCUGACUGUAUCUCAAAAUCCAUGUUAGCUUGAAUGAACUUAUGUAAUAAACAUUUAUCACAGAACAUAUGUCACUGAGCACCUGCCAGACUUCAGGAGUGGAGCCAACACAGCUUGAAUCGUAUAUGUAUUGGGAGAAAAAAAAAAAAGAAGAAAAAAAAAAAGGAACUUGGCGGCAGGAGGCUGGCAGACGCUUUUACUAGAAAAAUCAGAAGUGAUUUUGAGAGGAGCAGAAAUUUCCUGAAACCUCUUUCUCUCUGUAUAGGAAUUUCACACUUGGAAAAAACGAGAGGCAGAUUCGCCUGCAUGAGGUUGGGGUGAGCUGGCAAGCUUCUUGUUUAACCCUACAUUUCCUCCAAGACAUCCUCACACCUCCGUGUCCCCACAUCCCCAUGUCCACACCAUCCUGGGUUCCUGGCUCACACUGCUGCCCACAGGCAGGUUGAGCUGAGAUUUACCAGUUAGACUGUCCAGACUAUACCUGAGUAAAUCAAAGUUGCCUUACCUCCUGUUAACUAACCUGACCACUUACAGAACUGGUAUUAUCAUUAUGUCCAAGCACUAUGGGAUGCUUCUGUGCUUUUAUCAUUGCUUUUCCCUGAAGCUAUAAACGAGAAACUAAGCCUUGAGAAUGACAAACAGCUGAUCCUCAAUUGACCCUUUGGACUGCUGACCCUAAUGGCAGUGUCUGGGGACUUGACACCUCACUGCUCACUAAUCAGCUGCUCUGUGUGUGGGCUACAGCCACAGGCAAGCAAGUGGCCAGGGGCAUCUUCUGCAGGGAGCUGCUGGUCAUGGAGAGCUGCUGCAGGGCAGGCACAGAUCUGGAAGCACCCUGUGAAGAAGAUCCAAAUCACUCUUCCUCAGGUCCCAUUGGAGAAACUGAAGCACGAAGCACUGAAGAGAUGCUUCUCACAGCACUGGGAGAGUGUCCAGGCUCAAAGCCAGCUGUUCCAGUCCCAGCCUAACAUACCCAACAUUGCCUGUGCCUCUCCCUGGAAGGGGGGAUGAGAUUUAGUAUGGACAGGAGAUCUCUAUAUAUGUGUUUGUGUGUCUUUGUGUACAGUACAGGGGUUUUACUGAGAAAAGGCUACUUAACAAAAUAACAAAGUGGAAAUCAAUUCUGUCUUCAUCUGGGAAAGCAG
Gallus gallus (chicken) is the source of this 1842-nucleotide long non-coding RNA. The record is from Ensembl. Lineage: Eukaryota; Metazoa; Chordata; Aves; Galliformes; Phasianidae.